CUGGGGAGCUCAUCACUUCUUGAGGAAUCCCAUUAUAUGUUGAAUAGCUCUCUUUGGUGAAAAGUGGUCUUGUCACUAUAAUAUGGUAGUUGAGAAUGUGACUCUGAUAGAUGUGAUGUGAUACGGUAUGUGACUCUGGAGCCAGCCUGCGGGGGCCUGAAUUCUGACUCAGCCACUUACUGUGUGACCUUGGAGGGAGAUACAGAGGAAAGACAUCCGUGUGAAGAUGGAAGCAGAGAUUGGAGUUGUGCUGCCACAAACCAAGGAAUGUCAAGAAUUACUGGCAACCACCAGAA
Long non-coding RNA from Neomonachus schauinslandi (Hawaiian monk seal), 296 nucleotides. RefSeq lists it as uncharacterized. The record is from RefSeq and is a predicted model, not a curated record. Lineage: Eukaryota; Metazoa; Chordata; Mammalia; Carnivora; Phocidae. The transcript is spliced from 3 exons.